Long non-coding RNA from Symphalangus syndactylus (siamang), 2211 nucleotides. RefSeq lists it as uncharacterized. Lineage: Eukaryota; Metazoa; Chordata; Mammalia; Primates; Hylobatidae. The record is from RefSeq and is a predicted model, not a curated record.
GAUCUGACGGUUUUAUAAAGAGUUCCUCCCUACACAAGUGCUCUCUUGCCUGCCACCAGAUGACUUUGCUCCUCAUUCACCUUCAGCCGUGAUUGUGAGGCCUCCCCAGCCAUGUGGAACUGGCUACAUCUCUCAGCCACAUGGAAGAAUGUAACCAGUAGAGACAUCCUGGCCACUUUCGCUAGUUUCCUGGAGUUAUGAGCCUAUAAGAAAGCUAAGUGUUGAAAGACCAUAUGACUUCUUCAAGAGAAUCUUCGAGCAGAAAGUUUGACAACAGCAACGAUGGAGCUGGCUGGAUAUCUAAGACUGAAACUUACGGAAGGAAGAUCUAUAAAUUCUCAAGCAAGGAACCAAAAAAGCUUCUAUGUUCUGAAAGAACGUUUUAUUUCUUAUAGCUGCAGAGCUAAGAUUUCUGAGAGCCAAAUCUAAAAUUGGAUCCUAUGGGUGACUGGAUAACAAUGAAAGCUGAACUCACAGUGAGCCUUGUCAAGCCUCUUUCGUAAAAGUUAAAGUGUUGCCUGGAAAAGAAUGGGGACAUGAAAAUUGGAACAGAGCACUUGGGGAGAUUCUAAAGGGGAGGACAGGCCAUUAUUCUUGAGUGGCAGUUGCAGGCAGAUGCUGACCAGAUGGUGGAUACGAGGCACACAGCAGUGUCUGUGUCCAGCAAGGUCUUGAGGACAAGCUACUUCAGUGCUGCUGGCUGAGAUUGUAGGUAGUGUGCUUCUUGACCUGCCCUUUCCCUAUCCCAUUGGAUAGGGAUGAAACCUUGAAUCCUCUGUAUUGAAAUACAAAGAACAACUUCCAUUUGCCUGAAUGAACACUGACCAGUACAAGACUAAACAUCAGUUACCCAAACAAUUAGGAAAUUUGUUAAUAUGAGACACUCACUUCUGAGCAAUGUUAAGCAAAAGGGUCAUAUAGACAUGAAAAGUAGGUGAUGUCCCUAAACGAAGUAGGAGUGAGUGGAUAUUAGCGAGUGCUUCCAGCCAUGUGCACUAUAAAUCAUAUGAUAGGGUUCAUUCGUAUGUGUUUAGUGGACAGAUACUGAGGAAAGAAAUUCUGUCUGAAUUAUGAACUUUUGGGUUUUCUUAUAGACCAAGUUCUUGUCCUAAUGCCUGGCACACCCGAGUGCUCAAUAAAUGUUUAUUUAGCAUUUGGAUUUGCCUGGGCAGGAUGAAUCCCUCCCUGUCCAGUUACUAUUCACAACUUAAUAGUCAAUAGUUAAUAUUAUCAACAGUAGUCAAAAAUGUAUCAUUAUCACACUAAAAGUCUCAAAGUCCCCCUGUCUCACAAAGGCUUUCAGGCUGGGUCAUAAAUGUGUUUAUCUUAUUCAGUGUAAAGCAAUUCAACUUCCACUUCCUGUGUGCAAGUGUGCACGUUUCUAAACAAGAGAAUUUUAAAACUUAGAUGUGUUCAGUUACAACUUGUUUACCAAAAUGUAUGUGAAUGUAAUUUGGAACAAGAAGAACAGCCUCUUUCUACUGUCAAGAUUAUUUUUGUUUUAAACAUGAUAUGUCGUGAUUUCAAGCUAAGUAGUUGUAUCAGGGAGGCAUACUUUUUUAUAAAAUUGAGUUUCAUAUACUAAAAUCUAGUACUCCCAUCUUAAAGUUUUAUGGACUAUUUUAAAAUUACAUUUAUAAGACUGCUAUAUGAAAAAUGUCAGUGGCAUAUUUUGGGUACUAAAUUUAUUUUACACACACAAAGCCUCUCCUGGUGGCAUCUUUCUUCAUCUAGUAGACAAUAUCUAGGAGGAUUUUUGCUGCUAUUAAAGUUCAAGAAAGAAUAUAGGCCGGGCGUGGUGGCUCACACCUGUAAUCCCAGCACUUUGGGAGUCCGAGGGGGGCGGAUCACCUGAGGUCAGGAGUUCAAGAUCAGCCUGGCCAACAUGUCAAAACCUUAUCUCUACAAAAAUACAAAAAUUAGUUGGGCAUGAUGGUGGGUGCCUGUAAUCCCAGCUACUUGGGAGGCUGAGGCAGGAUAAUCUCUUGAACCUGGGAGGCGGAGGUUGUAGUGAGCUGAGAUUACACCACUGCACUCCAGCCUGGGCAACAGAGCAAGACCCCAUCUCAAAAAAAAAAACAAGAAUAUAUAAGAGAAAUACCAUACCAAUCAACAUUUCUAGAUACACAAAUAUAAACAUCUUAUAGAAACUAGCAAAAUUAUGAACUUAUGAACUACUAGCCAAUAGAGCACUUAGACAAAGUCCUACAA